This 374-nucleotide ribosomal RNA is filed under the name uncultured Bacteroidales bacterium. RNAcentral describes it as "bacterial SSU rRNA". It matches the Rfam family "Bacterial small subunit ribosomal RNA", at positions 41 to 414 of the family's 1533-position model. The record is from RNAcentral. Lineage: Bacteria; Pseudomonadati; Bacteroidota; Bacteroidia; Bacteroidales.
UACAGGCUUAACACAUGCAAGUCGAGGGGUAGCAGGGUAGCAAUACCGCUGACGACCGGCGCACGGGUGAGUAACACGUAUCCAACCUUCCCAUAACUCGGGGAUAGCCUUUCGAAAGAAAGAUUAAUACCCGAUAGUACUUAAGAAAGGCAUCUUUUUUAAGUUAAAGAUUUAUUGGUUAUGGAUGGGGAUGCGUUCCAUUAGAUAGUUGGUGAGGUAACGGCUCACCAAGUCUUCGAUGGAUAGGGGUUCUGAGAGGAAGGUCCCCCACAUUGGUACUGAGACACGGACCAAACUCCUACGGGAGGCAGCAGUGAGGAAUAUUGGUCAAUGGGCGAGAGCCUGAACCAGCCAAGUAGCGUGAAGGAUGACGG